RNAcentral lists this ribosomal RNA (522 nucleotides) under uncultured bacterium. RNAcentral's name for it is "bacterial SSU rRNA". It matches the Rfam family "Bacterial small subunit ribosomal RNA", at positions 9 to 526 of the family's 1533-position model. The record is from RNAcentral.
GAGUUUGAUCCUGGCUCAGGAUGAACGCUGGCGGCGUGCCUAACACAUGCAAGUCGAACGAAGCACUGAGAGUUUGAGAUUUCGGUCAAGAACUUUCUUUGACUUAGUGGCGGACGGGUGAGUAAUGCGUGAGCAACCUGCCUUUCAGAGGGGGACAACAGUUGGAAACGACUGCUAAUACCGCAUGAUAUAUUCGGAUGGCAUCAUCUGAAUAUCAAAGAUUUAUCGCUGAAAGAUGGGCUCACGUCUGAUUAGUUAGUUGGUGAGGUAACGGCUCACCAAGACUGCGAUCAGUAGCCGGACUGAGAGGUUGAACGGCCACAUUGGGACUGAGAUACGGCCCAGACUCCUACGGGAGGCAGCAGUGGGGAAUAUUGGGCAAUGGGCGAAAGCCUGACCCAGCAACGCCGCGUGAAGGAAGAAGGUCUUCGGAUUGUAAACUUCUUUUAUCAGGGACGAAGUAAGUGACGGUACCUGAUGAAUAAGCCACGGCUAACUACGUGCCAGCCGCCGCGGUAAUUC